This 179-nucleotide unclassified non-coding RNA is filed under the name uncultured Atheliaceae. RNAcentral's name for it is "sequence contains ITS1". Lineage: Eukaryota; Fungi; Basidiomycota; Agaricomycetes; Atheliales; Atheliaceae. The record is from RNAcentral.
AUGAAUUAACGGCGAGGGUUGUCGCUGGCCUCUCGAGGCAUGUGCACGCCCGAGCCUAUAAUCCAACACACCUGUGAACCAAAUGUAGGCCUUCGGGCCUAUGUCUUUCAUAAACCCAAUCGUAUGUCUAUAGAAUGUAAUAUCAUUUGUUGCCUUAAAAACGCAAUCGAAAACAUAUA